ACUGGCAGGCUAGAGUCUUGUAGAGGGGGGUAGAAUUCCAGGUGUAGCGGUGAAAUGCGUAGAGAUCUGGAGGAAUACCGGUGGCGAAGGCGGCCCCCUGGACAAAGACUGACGCUCAGGUGCGAAAGCGUGGGGAGCAAACAGGAUUAGAUACCCUGGUAGUCCACGCCGUAAACGAUGUCGACUUGGAGGUUGUGCCCUUGAGGCGUGGCUUCCGGAGCUAACGCGUUAAGUCGACCGCCUGGGGAGUACGGCCGCAAGGUUAAAACUCAAAUGAAUUGACGGGGGCCCGCACAAGCGGUGGAGCAUGUGGUUUAAUUCGAUGCAACGCGAAGAAC
This 338-nucleotide ribosomal RNA is filed under the name Citrobacter braakii. RNAcentral describes it as "bacterial SSU rRNA". It matches the Rfam family "Bacterial small subunit ribosomal RNA", at positions 632 to 969 of the family's 1533-position model. Lineage: Bacteria; Pseudomonadati; Pseudomonadota; Gammaproteobacteria; Enterobacterales; Enterobacteriaceae. The record is from RNAcentral.